UGGGGAAUUUUGCGCAAUGGGCUAACGCCUGACGCAGCAACGCCGCGUGGAGGAUGAAGGUCUUUGGAUUGUAAACUCCUGUCAGCAGGGAAAAAGCGACUUAGGUUACUACCCUAGGGAGUUGAUUGUACCUGCAGAGGAAGCCCCGGCUAACUCUGUGCCAGCAGCCCCGGUAAUACAGAGGGGGCAAGCGUUGUCCGGAAUUACUGGGCGUACAGCGCGCGCAGGCGGUCUGGGACGUGCCGUGUGACAUCCGUCGGCUCAACCGACGGAGGCCAGGGUACACGAGCAGACUGGAGACAGAGAGCGGGAUGUGGAAUACCCGGUGGAGCGGUGAAAUGCGUAGAGAUCGGGUGGAACACCAGGGGCGAAGGCGGCAUCCUGGCUCUGUUCUGACGCUGAGGCGCGAGAGCGUGGGGAGCAAA
RNAcentral lists this ribosomal RNA (425 nucleotides) under uncultured bacterium. RNAcentral describes it as "bacterial SSU rRNA". It matches the Rfam family "Bacterial small subunit ribosomal RNA", at positions 355 to 772 of the family's 1533-position model. The record is from RNAcentral.